AGCAUGUUGAUUCCUUUUGGCUAAUGCUCAUUUUUUAGCUGCAUUAUUCUUCAGUGCUUUUGUAGUAGUAAAAAAACUGUCGUAUCCCCUCCUUUGUUUUGGCCUGUUUGUGUCUUAUUUGCAUGCCUCACUCAUUAAUUUCUAGCAAAAUAUUUGUGCUUCCGCUUCGAUCUACUUGGGUGUACUUUUCUUGUGUGCAGGAACUGCUUUAUCCAGCAGGAAAUUAUCCACAUAAGCUACUCUCCGAGCCUCGCUAGUGCUAGAAGUUGUUGAGGGACUCGAGCAGCAUUUUGUGUGCUACACAGCUUUUGACCGGUCUGACCGGCCAGCCCUGGCUGCAGUGUUCGAGUGGGUUGCAAUUUGAAUAAAUUGUCAAUUCGCCUAUUCACCCCCUCCCCCUUCUAGGCGAC
This 410-nucleotide long non-coding RNA is filed under the name Setaria viridis. RNAcentral's name for it is "long non-coding RNA (SVIR_LNC000842)". Lineage: Eukaryota; Viridiplantae; Streptophyta; Magnoliopsida; Poales; Poaceae. The record is from RNAcentral.